CAUUAGAUGGCUGAAAG
RNAcentral lists this transfer RNA (17 nucleotides) under Liriomyza sativae (vegetable leafminer). RNAcentral's name for it is "partial tRNA-Lys". The record is from RNAcentral. RNAcentral also lists the same sequence under 2 other names. Lineage: Eukaryota; Metazoa; Arthropoda; Insecta; Diptera; Agromyzidae.